CCUACGGGAGGCAUCAGUGAGGAAUAUUGGUCAAUGGACGAGAGUCUGAACCAGCCAAGUCGCGUGAAGGAUGACUGCCCUAUGGGUUGUAAACUUCUUUUAUAUGGGAAUAAAACGUUCCACGUGUGGGCUUUUGUAUGUACCAUAUGAAUAAGGAUCGGCUAACUCCGUGCCAGCAGCCGCGGUAAUACGGAGGAUCCGAGCGUUAUCCGGAUUUAUUGGGUUUAAAGGGUGCGUAGGUGGAUUGUUAAGUCAGUUGUGAAAGGUUGCGGCUUAACCGUGAAAUUGCAGUUAAAACUGGCAGUCUUGAGAACAGAAGAGGUAGGCGGAAUGCGUGGUGUAGCGGUGAAAUGCUUAGAGAUCACGAAGAACUCCGAUUGCGAAGGCAGUUCACUGGACUGCAACUGACACUGAGGCUCGAAAGUGUGGGUAUCAAACAGGAUUAGAUACCCCAGUAGUC
This 460-nucleotide ribosomal RNA is filed under the name uncultured bacterium. RNAcentral describes it as "partial 16S ribosomal RNA". It matches the Rfam family "Bacterial small subunit ribosomal RNA", at positions 338 to 795 of the family's 1533-position model. The record is from RNAcentral.